This 892-nucleotide ribosomal RNA is filed under the name uncultured bacterium. Its description in RNAcentral is "bacterial SSU rRNA". It matches the Rfam family "Bacterial small subunit ribosomal RNA", at positions 505 to 1397 of the family's 1533-position model. The record is from RNAcentral.
GUGCCAGCCGCCGCGGUAAUACGUAGGUGGCAAGCGUUGUCCGGAUUUAUUGGGCGUAAAGCGAGCGCAGGCGGUUUCUUAAGUCUGAUGUGAAAGCCUUCGGCUCAACCGAAGAAGUGCAUCGGAAACUGGGAAACUUGAGUGCAGAAGAGGACAGUGGAACUCCAUGUGUAGCGGUGAAAUGCGUAGAUAUAUGGAAGAACACCAGUGGCGAAGGCGGCUGUCUGGUCUGUAACUGACGCUGAGGCUCGAAAGCAUGGGUAGCAAACAGGAUUAGAUACCCUGGUAGUCCAUGCCGUAAACGAUGAGUGCUAGGUGUUGGAGGGUUUCCGCCCUUCAGUGCCGCAGCUAACGCAUUAAGCACUCCGCCUGGGGAGUACGACCGCAAGGUUGAAACUCAAAGGAAUUGACGGGGGCCCGCACAAGCGGUGGAGCAUGUGGUUUAAUUCGAAGCAACGCGAAGAACCUUACCAGGUCUUGACAUCCUUUGACCACUCUAGAGAUAGAGCUUUCCCUUCGGGGACAAAGUGACAGGUGGUGCAUGGUUGUCGUCAGCUCGUGUCGUGAGAUGUUGGGUUAAGUCCCGCAACGAGCGCAACCCUUAUUACUAGUUGCCAGCAUUAAGUUGGGCACUCUAGUGAGACUGCCGGUGACAAACCGGAGGAAGGUGGGGACGACGCCAAAUCAUCAUGCCCCUUAUGACCUGGGCUACACACGUGCUACAAUGGAUGGUACAACGAGUUGCGAGACCGCGAGGUUUAGCUAAUCUCUUAAAACCAUUCUCAGUUCGGAUUGUAGGCUGCAACUCGCCUACAUGAAGCCGGAAUCGCUAGUAAUCGCGGAUCAGCAUGCCGCGGUGAAUACGUUCCCGGGCCUUGUACACACCGCCCGU